AGUGAACGCUGGCGGUAUGCCUAACACAUGCAAGUCGAACGGCAGCACAGUAAGAUCGUGCUCUUACGGGUUGCGAGAGGCGGACGGGUGAGGAAUACAUCGGAAUCUAGUUUUUCGGGUGGGUUAACGUAGGUAAAGUUACUCUAAUACCGCAGACGACGUACGGGUGAAAGCAGUGGAUCGUCUGACCUGGCGCGGAUGGAUUAGCCGAUGUGGGAUUAGUUAGUGGGGGGGUUAAUUGCCCACCAAGGCGACGAUCCGUAGCUUGUCUGAGAGGAUGAUCAGCCACACUGGAACUGAGACACGGUCCAGACUCCUACGGGAGGCAGCAGUGGGGAAUAUUGGGCAAUGGGCGCAAGCCUGAUCCAGCCAUACCGAGUGGGUGAAGAAGGCCUUCGGGUUGUAAAGCCCUUUUGUUGGGAAAGAAACGCAGCAGGCUAAUACCAAGCUGUUCUGACGGUACCCAAAGAAUAAGCACCGGCUAACUUCGUG
RNAcentral lists this ribosomal RNA (492 nucleotides) under uncultured bacterium. RNAcentral's name for it is "partial 16S ribosomal RNA". It matches the Rfam family "Bacterial small subunit ribosomal RNA", at positions 29 to 507 of the family's 1533-position model. The record is from RNAcentral.